CACAAGAACCACCUCCCUCUCUCUCUCAAACCCAGCAAUGGGUCUUCUUCAAACCCUACUCCCUCUCCUCCUCCUUCUCCUCCUCCACCUCACCGCCGCUGACGACGCCGUCGUCAUGUCCAAGCUCCUCGAGAAUCUCAAACCCAGCGGCUGGUCCUCCUCCACCUCCUACUGCUCCUGGGACGGCGUCAAAUGCGACUCCGACACUUCCAAACGCGUCACCUCCAUCAACCUCCCCUCCCAGUCCCUCUCCGGCCCCCUCCCCUCCAAUCUCAACUCCCUCUCCGAACUCACCACCCUCGCCCUCCAGUCCAACUCCCUCUCCGGCCCCUUCCCCACCCUCGCCAACCUCUCCAACCUCCGCGAAGUCUUCCUCGACACCAACAACUUCUCCUCCAUCCCCGCCUCCUGCUUCCAAGGCCUCACCAGCCUCCAGACCCUCAGCAUGGGAUCCAACAACAACCUCGCCCCCUGGCUCUUCCCCUCCGAGCUCACCCAGUCCACCAGCAUCGUCACCCUCCAAGCCGGCAACACCAACCUCUACGGCACCAUCCCCGACAUUUUCGCCUCCUUCGCCAACCUACAGAACCUCAGACUCUCCUACAACAACCUCACCGGGCCCCUCCCCGGGUCGUUCGCCGGAUCUGGGAUUCAGUAUCUCUGGAUUAACAACCAGCAGCUCGGUAUGUCCGGUGGAGUCGGCGUCCUUUCGAAUAUGACUUCCUUGACUCAGGCCUGGCUGAACAAGAAUCAGUUCAGCGGCGAGAUCCCGGACCUCUCGCAGUGUAGUGCUCUCGGCGAGCUUCGCCUGAGGGACAAUGUGUUCACUGGGACGGUCCCCGCGACGCUGUUGGGGCUGGCUUCUUUGCAGAAUGUUACUUUGGACAACAAUAAGCUGCAGGGUCCUUUGCCCGAGUUUGGGUCCAAGGUGACGGCGAGCUUCGAUGGGAAUAGCUUCUGCAAGACCACUGCCGGGCCGUGUGAUCCGCAGGUGACUACGCUGCUGCAGGUUGCCGGGGCUCUGGGGUAUCCCGAGUCACUGGCGGAGGCUUGGACAGGGAACGAUGCGUGCGAUAGCUGGAGCUACAUUACUUGUGAUUCUUCUGGGAAGGUGAUUACGGUGAAUUUCGAGAACCAGCAUUUCAAUGGGACUAUUUCACCUACGUUUGCCAACCUCACAUCGCUGCAGAGACUGUUGUUGAAGAACAACAACUUGACGGGGACCAUACCGGCUAGCCUGACCACAUUAGCUGCGCUGAAGACUCUGGAUGCCUCCAAUAACAAUUUAUAUGGUGACAUCCCGAAAUUUGCGACCGGGGUGAAUGUGGUUACUAGUGGUAAUAAGUUGAUUGGGACUUUACCGAGCCUGGAUGGUGGAGGGACCUCACCGUCUGGCAACAACUCGACUGCACCAAAUGGGAGUCCUUCUCCAUCGGCAAAUGGUAACUCGGUGUCGCCUGGUAUGAUUGCUGGUAUAGUCAUUGCUGUUGUUGUUUUCAUUGGAGUGUUGUUGUUCGUGUUCAUCAAAUGUUAUUUGGGUAAGAAGCAUAGGAAGUUUGGAAGAGUGGAUAAUACGCUGAAUGGUAUUGAAAUUGCUAAGAGUGAUGCGACCAGUUGUGCAAAUGGGUACCAUGGAGUUGCAAGUGAGUUGCAGAGCCAGAGCAGUGGUGACCUCCAUGUUUUUGAGGGUGGAAAUGUCGCUAUCUCGAUCCAAGUUCUUAGACAAGUGACAGACAAUUUUAGUGAGGAUAAUAUUUUGGGUAGAGGAGGAUUUGGAGUAGUCUACAAAGGUGAAUUACAUGAUGGGACUAAAAUUGCUGUUAAGAGGAUGGAAUCAGUGGCAGUAGGUACUAAGGGAUUGAACGAGUUUCAGGCGGAAAUUGCAGUCCUCACUAAGGUCAGGCACAGGCAUUUGGUUGCUCUGUUAGGAUACUGCAUUAAUGGCAAUGAGAGACUUCUGGUGUACGAGUACAUGCCACAAGGAACAUUGACACAACAUUUGUUUGAUUGGCGCGAGACUGGAGUAACUCCUCUUACUUGGAAGCAGAGAGUGACAGUUGCUUUGGAUGUAGCAAGAGGAGUAGAAUAUCUACACAGCUUAGCUCAACAAAGUUUCAUUCACAGAGACUUGAAACCCUCAAAUAUACUUCUCGGGGAUGACAUGAGGGCGAAGGUUGCGGACUUUGGUUUAGUUAAAAAUGCCCCUGAUGGAAAGUAUUCAGUUGAGACACGAUUGGCAGGGACAUUUGGGUAUCUUGCACCAGAAUAUGCAGCUACCGGCAGAGUGACAACAAAGGUGGAUGUUUAUGCAUUUGGAGUGGUGUUGAUGGAGUUGAUGACUGGUCGAAAAGCUCUAGAUGAUACCAUGCCAGAUGAAAGGUCUCAUUUGGUCUCAUGGUUCCGCAGAGUCCUUGUCAACAAAGAAAACAUCCCCAAGUCCCUCGACCAAACUCUUGACCCUGAUGAGGAGACAAUGGAGAGCAUAUACAAAGUUGCGGAGCUUGCGGGUCACUGCACAGCUCGUGAGCCAUAUCAGAGACCAGACAUGGGCCAUGCAGUCAACAUCUUGGGUCCUCUUGUUGAGCACUGGAAACCUACCACCCAUGAAGAAGAAGAUGAAAACAGUGGCAUUAACAUGCACAUGAACCUUUCUCAAGCUGUGCAAAGAUGGCAAGCUGAUGAAGGUACUUCAAGGAUGUUUGAUGAUUUGUCCUACUCCCAAUCAAGCAUCCCUUCAAAACCUUCCGGGUUUGCAGACUCAUUCGCUUCAACGGACUGCCGAUGAUAGAGAGAAUGAAGAUUGAAUCGAUAAACACUCUGAAGACAGAGACAAAGAGACUCCAAAAGGUGGGGACUACGAGAAAAAGAGAGCAGGCUGUGUUAAACGACAGCAUGGCAGCUUAGGAUCCCAGUACUACCAGCAAGAUCUUAUGAUGAAAGAAAAAAAGAAAACCAAAGGGGGUAGGUUGAUCAUUGGGUAUAAGCUGGAAGAGGGACAGCGUAGAGAUUACUUGUUGUGCAUGAUUUGUAUAGUUAUAAUUUAGAAAGAACUGCACAUGGAAUUAUAAGGGUGCAUGUUAGGUUUGGUUGAAAGGUGAACCUUCUGUUUGUGAAGAUGUGACUUUUGUUAGUGCUGCACAUGUUGUAGGACCUUCCCUUAUUUCAUUUCUUUUGUUUUUCUGUUUUGUAUUUCAUGUGAAAUUGAUGGUUAGCAAUUUGGAGA
This is an RNA transcript of Argentina anserina (silverweed cinquefoil), 3223 nucleotides long. It is a transcript of the gene named receptor-like kinase TMK4, with no coding region annotated. The record is from RefSeq and is a predicted model, not a curated record. NCBI's taxonomy places the organism in Eukaryota, Viridiplantae, Streptophyta, Magnoliopsida, Rosales, Rosaceae. The transcript has 3 exons.